AUUGAACGCUGGCGGCAGGCCUAACACAUGCAAGUCGAACGAGUGGCGGAAGGGUGAGGAAUGUCUGGGAAACUGCCUGAUGGAGGGGGAUAACUACUGGAAACGGUAGCUAAUACCGCAUACCAUCAGAUGUGCCCAGAUGGGAUUAGCUUGUUGGUGGGGUAACGGCUCACCAAGGCGACGAGCCCUAGUGGGUCUGAGAGGAUGCCCAGCCACACUGGACCUGAGACACGGUCCAGACUCCUACGGGAGGUAGCAGUGGGGAAUAUUGCACAAUGGGCGCAAGCCUGAUGCAGCCAUGCCGCGUGUAUGAAGAAGGCCUUAGGGUUGUAAAGUACUUUCAGCGGGGAGGCGUGACCCGCAGAAGAAGCACCGGCUAACUCCGUGCCAGCCGCCGCGGGAAUAC
RNAcentral lists this ribosomal RNA (406 nucleotides) under uncultured bacterium. Its description in RNAcentral is "partial 16S ribosomal RNA". It matches the Rfam family "Bacterial small subunit ribosomal RNA", at positions 30 to 526 of the family's 1533-position model. The record is from RNAcentral.